RNAcentral lists this ribosomal RNA (441 nucleotides) under Bacillus sp. SCN22108. RNAcentral describes it as "bacterial SSU rRNA". It matches the Rfam family "Bacterial small subunit ribosomal RNA", at positions 120 to 547 of the family's 1533-position model. The record is from RNAcentral. Lineage: Bacteria; Bacillati; Bacillota; Bacilli; Caryophanales; Bacillaceae.
GGCAACCUGCCUGUAAGACUGGGAUAACUUCGGGAAACCGAAGCUAAUACCGGAUAGGAUCUUCUCCUUCAUGGGAGAUGAUUGAAAGAUGGUUUCGGCUAUCACUUACAGAUGGGCCCGCGGUGCAUUAGCUAGUUGGUGAGGUAACGGCUCACCAAGGCAACGAUGCAUAGCCGACCUGAGAGGGUGAUCGGCCACACUGGGACUGAGACACGGCCCAGACUCCUACGGGAGGCAGCAGUAGGGAAUCUUCCGCAAUGGACGAAAGUCUGACGGAGCAACGCCGCGUGAGUGAUGAAGGCUUUCGGGUCGUAAAACUCUGUUGUUAGGGAAGAACAAGUACAAGAGUAACUGCUCGUACCUUGACGGUACCUAACCAGAAAGCCACGGCUAACUACGUGCCAGCAGCCGCGGUAAUACGUAGGUGGCAAGCGUUAUCCG